UUAGCUCUCUGCAAUCAAAGAUCUUCUCAUUGCCACUCACUCCACUGUUGGUGUCAUUCAUGUUAUCUCUAAAGAAACAUGGUCUGAUGUCUCCAAGAUAUGGGUUGCGAUUCUCAGAGUGAGGGAAAACGCUGCACAGGCAUUCAAGAAGGUUCAUGACAGGCUUGAUGGAACGAGUGUCUCAGCCAAUGCCAGUUUUG
Molecule: long non-coding RNA, 200 nt
Filed under: Nicotiana benthamiana
Lineage: Eukaryota; Viridiplantae; Streptophyta; Magnoliopsida; Solanales; Solanaceae
Description: long non-coding RNA (NBEN_LNC000017)
Source: RNAcentral